AACGAACGCUGGCGGCAUGCCUAACACAUGCAAGUCGAACGAGAUCUUCGGGUCUAGUGGCGCACGGGUGCGUAACGCGUGGGAAUCUGCCCUUUGGUUCGGAAUAACAGUUGGAAACGACUGCUAAUACCGGAUGAUGACGAAAGUCCAAAGAUUUAUCGCCAGAGGAUGAGCCCGCGUAGGAUUAGCUAGUUGGUGUGGUAAAGGCGCACCAAGGCGACGAUCCUUAGCUGGUCUGAGAGGAUGAUCAGCCACACUGGGACUGAGACACGGCCCAGACUCCUACGGGAGGCAGCAGUGGGGAAUAUUGGACAAUGGGCGAAAGCCCGAUCCAGCAAUGCCGCGUGAGUGAUGAAGGCCUUAGGGUUGUAAAGCACUUUUACCCGGGAUGAUAAUGACAGUACCGGGAGAAUAAGCUCCGGCUAACUCCGUGCCAGCAGCCGCAGUAA
RNAcentral lists this ribosomal RNA (449 nucleotides) under uncultured bacterium. RNAcentral's name for it is "partial 16S ribosomal RNA". It matches the Rfam family "Bacterial small subunit ribosomal RNA", at positions 29 to 523 of the family's 1533-position model. The record is from RNAcentral.